GAAAUGCGAUAAGUAAUGUGAAUUGCAGAAUUCAGUGAAUCAUCGAAUCUUUGAACGCACAUUGCGCCCGGCAGCAAUCUGCCGGGCAUGCCUGUCCGAGCGUCAUUUCUGCCCUCGAGCGCGGUUCGGCCCCUAGCGGGCCGGCCGCCGCCCGGUGUUGGGGCGCUGCGGGCCCUCGUGCCCGCAGGCCCUGAAAUGAAGUGGCGGUCCCGCCGCGGCGCCCCCUGCGUAGUAGUAAAGCACCUCGCAUCGGGUCCCGGCGGAGGCCAGCCGUCGAACCUCUCUUUUGAUGGUUUGACCUCGGAUCAGGUAGGGUUACGCGCUGAAGAUAAGC
RNAcentral lists this unclassified non-coding RNA (334 nucleotides) under plant metagenome. RNAcentral's name for it is "partial contains 5.8S ribosomal RNA, internal transcribed spacer 2, and large subunit ribosomal RNA". The stretch from base 1 to 105 matches the Rfam family "5.8S ribosomal RNA", at positions 50 to 154 of the family's 154-position model. The record is from RNAcentral.